AUGAGUUUCCCCCUCCUCUCAUCUUUUGUAGCUGUCUCUGUGUUACCUUUUCUUUGCAGAGGUUGGAUCAGAAAAUGCCUUAUGUUAUUUCAUGGGGAAUUCCCAAAGAACAGCCAGCUCCCGUUGGUUGCUAAGAGACAGCUCUACAGCUGGGAUUUGGCUGCAAAAUUUGAACAAAAAAAGAAGAGCACAAAUGGGCUUGCCAGAUUUUGGUAUCAGGAUAGUGCUGGCCUCAAACUGAAUAAAGAGUCAAGACCCAUCAAUGUACUGUAUUCAGAAGACUGAUCUCACAUGCAAAGACAAACAUAGGCUCAAAAUAAAGGGAUGGAGGUGCCAGGUGCGGCGUUUCAUGCUUAUAAUCUGAGCACUUUGGGGGCUCAAGGCAGAAGGAUCACCUGAGUUUGGAAAUUCAAGACCAGCCUGAUCAAUAUAAAGAAACCCCAUCUCAACCAAAAAUACAAAAAAAAAAAAAAAAUUCCCUGGGCAUGAUGGUGCAUGCCUGUUGUCCCAGCUACUUGGGAGGCUGAGGCAGAAGAAUCACUUGAACCCAGGAGGCAGAGGUUACAGUGAGUCAAGAUCACAUCAUUGCACUCCAGCCUGGCAACAAGAGCCAAACUCUGUCUCAAAAGCAAAAAUAAUAAAAAGGAAUGGAGGAACAUUUACCAAGCAAAUGGAAAGCAAAAAACGUAGGGGUUGCAACCCUAGUGUCUGAAAAAACAGACUUUAAACCAACAAGGAACAAAAAAGACAAAGAAGGGCAUUACAUAAUGAUAAAGGAAUCAGCACAAUAAGAAGAGCUAACUAUCCUCAAUAUAUAUGUACCUAAUACAGGAGCACCCAGCUUCAUAAGGCAAGUUCUUAGAGACCUACAAAGAGACUUAGACUCCCACAUGAUAAUAAUAGGAGACUUUAACACCCCACUGUGUCAAUAUUAGACAGAUCCAUGAGACAGAAAAUUAGCAAGGUUAUUCAUGACUUGAACUCAGUUCUGGACCGAGUAGACCUAAUAGACAUCUACAGAACUCUUCACACCAAAUCAACAGAAUAAACAUUCUUCUCAUCACCACAUCACGAUUAUUCUAAAAUUUACCACCUAAUUGUAAAUAAGACAC
RNAcentral lists this long non-coding RNA (1112 nucleotides) under Callithrix jacchus (white-tufted-ear marmoset). Its description in RNAcentral is "lncRNA (ENSCJAG00000080101.1)". Lineage: Eukaryota; Metazoa; Chordata; Mammalia; Primates; Cebidae. The record is from RNAcentral.